CCUCAUUUUCUUCAAUUCUGCGGACGAACGACAUCGAGAGAGAGAAGAUAAUGGUUUUGAUUCAAAAUCUUCCAAGGAUCAUAUCUCGAGCUAGAGUUAACGAAAUUCAUCCAUUCCAAAACCAAAGUUGAAGUGUGCAACCUGAGGAACAGAUCUACGGUUCGCCUAAGAAUCUUGUCGAGGAUCCUACAUCAGAUGAGGCUUGGUAACUCGGUUGUUGGGUAGGCCAUCUAUACAGCUUUGAGAGGAACACAGUUAAUUGAAGAGCCCUCAUGGGACAAGGACACUACCCGUGGCUAGAGGUACUAGUAUGAGGAUAUAGAGUUCUGGGUGGCCAGACGCUACUAUUUAUUAUAGAUGUUAUUUUUGGAGAAUAUGUACUGUUGUAUAGUGUUCUAUUCAUUUUGAGAUCAUGAUGUUUGAUCCAUUAUACAAUAUAUGCUCCGUAUAUGUUUUGUACAUGUGUUCCUAUUUGAUGCAUGUACAUUUGUGUAUUCAGAUAUAUGCAUGUGCUGAAAUAUGUAUGUUGUUAGACAUAGUGGCAUGGAGCGAGUUAUACAUGCACCCAUGGAUGGGUAUAUAGUCCUUUAUAGGUAUCUGGUAUUUCUGAAAUUAUAUAUGGUAUAAACUGUUUAUCAGGAACCUUUGAGAGUGGGAUUG
Gastrolobium bilobum is the source of this 660-nucleotide long non-coding RNA. RefSeq lists it as uncharacterized. The transcript has 3 exons. Lineage: Eukaryota; Viridiplantae; Streptophyta; Magnoliopsida; Fabales; Fabaceae. The record is from RefSeq and is a predicted model, not a curated record.